This 560-nucleotide ribosomal RNA is filed under the name uncultured bacterium. Its description in RNAcentral is "partial 16S ribosomal RNA". It matches the Rfam family "Bacterial small subunit ribosomal RNA", at positions 355 to 932 of the family's 1533-position model. The record is from RNAcentral.
GGAGGAAUAUUGGGCAAUGGACGAAAGUCUGACCCAGCAACGCCGCGUGAAGGAUGAAGGCCUUCGGGUCGUAAACUUCUUUUUGAGGGGAGACGAGAAAGGACGGUAUCCCCCGAAUAAGCCACGGCUAACUACGUGCCAGCAGCCGCGGUAAAACGUAGGUGGCGAGCGUUAUCCGGAUUCAUUGGGCGUAAAGAGCUUGUAGGUGGUGCGAUAAGUUGGACGUGAAAACUCCGGGCUUAACUUGGAGAGGCCGUUCAAUACUGUUGUGCUAGAGGGCGUCAGAGGGAAGUGGAAUUCCUGGUGUAGCAGUGAAAUGCGUAGAUAUCAGGAGGAACAUCCGUGGCGAAGGCGGCUUCCUGGGGCGCACCUGACACUGAGAAGCGAAAGCUAGGGGAGCAAACGGGAUUAGAAACCCCGGUAGUCCUAGCUGUAAACGAUGGAUGCUAGGUGUGAGUGGAUCUAACCCCGCUCGUGCCGAAGCUAACGCGUUAAGCAUCCCGCCUGGGAACUACGAGCGCAAGCUUAAAAACUCAAAUGAAUUGACGGGGUCAUAGCUG